This 429-nucleotide ribosomal RNA is filed under the name Gemmatimonadota bacterium. RNAcentral describes it as "Gemmatimonadetes bacterium partial 16S ribosomal RNA". It matches the Rfam family "Bacterial small subunit ribosomal RNA", at positions 355 to 776 of the family's 1533-position model. Lineage: Bacteria; Pseudomonadati; Gemmatimonadota. The record is from RNAcentral.
UAGGGAAUCUUCGGCAAUGGACGAAAGUCUGACCGAGCAACGCCGCGUGAGUGAAGAAGGUUUUCGGAUCGUAAAACUCUGUUGUUAGAGAAGAACAAGGACGUUAGUAACUGAACGUCCCCUGACGGUAUCUAACCAGAAAGCCACGGCUAACUACGUGCCAGCAGCCGCGGUAAUACGGAGGUGGCAAGCGUUGUCCGGAUUUAUUGGGCGUAAAGCGAGCGCAGGCGGUUUCUUAAGUCUGAUGUGAAAGCCCCCGGCUCAACCGGGGAGGGUCAUUGGAAACUGGGAGACUUGAGUACAGAAGAGGGGAGUGGAGUUCCAUGUGUAGCGGUGAGAUGCGUAGAUAUAUGGAGGAACACCAGUGGCGAAGGCGGCUCUCUGGUCUGUAACUGACGCUGAGGCUCGAAGGCGUGGUGAGCAAACAGG